GACGAACGUUGGCGGCGUGCUUAAUACAUGCAAGUCCACUGAAGCAGUGGUAGCAAUAUCGCUGUGGAGGUGGCGCACGGGUGAGUAACACGUAGGUAAUCUGCCUUCAGGUCUGGCAUAACUCCGGGAAACCGGGGCUAAUAGCAGAUGAUGCAGCGGCUCGACAUCGAGACAGUUGUUAAAGCUAUGGCGCCUGAAGAUGAGCCUGCGUCUGAUUAGCUAGUUGGCGGGGUAACGGCCCACCAAGGCAACGAUCAGUAGCUGGUCUGAGAGGAUGAUCAGCCACACUGGAGCUGAGAAACGGUCCAGGAUCCUACGGGAGGCAGCAGUAAGGAAUAUUGGUCAAUGGGAGAAAUCCUGAAGGCGCAACGCCGCGUGAGGGACGAAGGGCUUUUGCUUGUAAACCUCUGUAGUGAGAGAAAAAAAUCCCAAUCUUUGGGAAAUGAUGGUAUCUCAAAAGUAAGCCCCGGCUAACUACGUG
This 481-nucleotide ribosomal RNA is filed under the name uncultured bacterium. RNAcentral's name for it is "partial 16S ribosomal RNA". It matches the Rfam family "Bacterial small subunit ribosomal RNA", at positions 28 to 507 of the family's 1533-position model. The record is from RNAcentral.